RNAcentral lists this ribosomal RNA (253 nucleotides) under uncultured bacterium. RNAcentral describes it as "partial 16S ribosomal RNA". It matches the Rfam family "Bacterial small subunit ribosomal RNA", at positions 524 to 776 of the family's 1533-position model. The record is from RNAcentral.
UACGUAGGUGGCAAGCGUUGUCCGGAAUUAUUGGGCGUAAAGAGCGUGUAGGCGGCCAGAUAGGUCUGCUGUGAAAACUCGAGGCUCAACCUCGAGAUGUCGGCGGAAACCAUUUGGCUAGAGUCCGGAAGAGGAAAGUGGAAUUCCUGGUGUAGCGGUGAAAUGCGCAGAUAUCAGGAAGAACACCCGUGGCGAAGGCGGCUUUCUGGGACGGUACUGACGCUGAGACGCGAAAGCGUGGGGAGCGAACAGG